GGUUCAGAACGAACGCUGGCGGCAUGCCUAACACAUGCAAGUCGAACGAGACCUUCGGGUCUAGUGGCGCACGGGUGCGUAACGCGUGGGAAUCUGCCCUUCGGUUGGGAAUAACACAGAGAAAUUUGUGCUAAUACCUUAUAAUGUCUUCGGACCAAAGAUUUAUCGCCGAGGGAUGAGCCCGCGUAGGAUUAGGUAGUUGGUGGGGUAAUGGCCUACCAAGCCGACGAUCCUUAGCUGGUCUGAGAGGAUGAUCAGCCACACUGGGACUGAGACACGGCCCAGACUCCUACGGGAGGCAGCAGUGGGGAAUAUUGGACAAUGGGCGAAAGCCUGAUCCAAGCAAUGCCGCGUGAGUGAUGAAGGCCUUAGGGUUGUAAAGCUCUUUUACCCGGGAUGAUAAUGACAGUACCGGGAGAAUAAGCUCCGGCUAACUCCGUGCCAGCCGCAGC
RNAcentral lists this ribosomal RNA (452 nucleotides) under uncultured bacterium. RNAcentral's name for it is "bacterial SSU rRNA". It matches the Rfam family "Bacterial small subunit ribosomal RNA", at positions 21 to 518 of the family's 1533-position model. The record is from RNAcentral.